GUGCCAGCCGCUGCGGUAAUACGGAGGGUGCAAGCGUUAAUCGGAAUUACUGGGCGUAAAGCGCACGCAGGCGGUCUGUUAAGUCAGAUGUGAAAUCCCCGGGCUCAACCUGGGAACUGCAUCUGAUACUGGCAGGCUUGAGUCUCGUAGAGGGGGGUAGAAUUCCAGGUGUAGCGGUGAAAUGCGUAGAGAUCUGGAGGAAUACCGGUGGCGAAGGCGGCCCCCUGGACGAAGACUGACGCUCAGGUGCGAAAGCGUGGGGAGCAAACAGGAUUAGAUACCCUGGUAGUCCACGCCGUAAACGAUGUCGACUUGGAGGUUGUGCCCUUGAGGCGUGGCUUCCGGAGCUAACGCGUUAAGUCGACCGCCUGGGGAGUACGGCCGCAAGGUUAAACUCAAAUGAAUUGACGGGGCCCGCACAAGCGGUGGAG
Molecule: ribosomal RNA, 431 nt
Filed under: uncultured Cronobacter sp.
Lineage: Bacteria; Pseudomonadati; Pseudomonadota; Gammaproteobacteria; Enterobacterales; Enterobacteriaceae
Description: bacterial SSU rRNA
Rfam family: Bacterial small subunit ribosomal RNA
Source: RNAcentral